UCCAGACUCCUACGGGAGGCAGCAGUGGGGAAUAUUGGACAAUGGGGGGAACCCUGAUCCAGCGACGCCGCGUGGGUGAAGGAGCGUUUCGGCGCGUAAAGCCCUAUCGGCAGGGAAGAAGGAGGACGGUACCUGACUAAGAAGCCCCGGCUAACUUCGUGCCAGCAGCCGCGGUAAUACGUAGGGGGCAAGCGUUAUCCGGAUUUACUGGGUGUAAAGGGGGCGCAGACGGCAGCGCAAGCCAGGAGUGAAAGCCCGGGGCCCAACCCCGGGACUGCUCUUGGAACUGCGCGGCUGGAGUGCAGGAGGGGCAGGCGGAAUUCCUGGUGUAGCGGUGAAAUGCGUAGAUAUCAGGAGGAACACCGGUGGCGAAGGCGGCCUGCUGGACUGCGACUGACGUUGAGGCCCGAAAGCGUGGGGAGCAAACAGGAUUAGAUACCCUGGUA
RNAcentral lists this ribosomal RNA (446 nucleotides) under uncultured bacterium. Its description in RNAcentral is "bacterial SSU rRNA". It matches the Rfam family "Bacterial small subunit ribosomal RNA", at positions 330 to 792 of the family's 1533-position model. The record is from RNAcentral.